UUUUAUAGUUCUUGUCAUGCAGAAUUGUGAUAAUGAAUUAUUUGCCUCUAUCAUCGGACUAUGAACUACUCAAGGGAAAAAACUUGCCUUAUUCACCUCUGCAUUUCUAAGGUUUAGCUUAAUUCUUGGCAUAAGUAAGCACUUAGAAACACUGGAUGGACAAACAAAUGACUUUUCUUGAGAACACAUCCUUAAGAGUAUAGCUAUUUAGAUCAACAUGUUAAAAUAUUCAAAGCUCUUUCAUACAGCUUCUCAUUUAAUCCCACUCUAUGCCUAUAAAUGAAGCACUGUUAUCCCCACAUUGCAGAUGAGAAAACUGAGAAUCAAGGAGACACACAGCUGGAUAAUGGCAGAGCAUGAAUGUAACAGAACAUGGAGUCUCGGAGUUGUGACGUCCAUUGCCAGCAAAGGUUCAGACAAAGGAGCAGGAGGACACACCGUAUGGUCUCAGGCUGCCAACUUAAUCCAAUCGCUAAGUGGGAACCACUGAAUCCUCCUUUAUAAACACCUUGCAUAUUCCCUGUUGCAACUAAGAGAUG
Long non-coding RNA from Homo sapiens (human), 539 nucleotides. Lineage: Eukaryota; Metazoa; Chordata; Mammalia; Primates; Hominidae. The record is from Ensembl.